Molecule: long non-coding RNA, 1288 nt
Filed under: Dromaius novaehollandiae (emu)
Lineage: Eukaryota; Metazoa; Chordata; Aves; Casuariiformes; Dromaiidae
Description: lncRNA (ENSDNVG00000012138.1)
Source: RNAcentral
AAGGCGUUGCGAGCGCAGCUGCGCCGCGGCGGGCGCCAGCAGGAGCAUGGACCCCCGCGGCGGCGGCGGCUGGAUCUGCCUGGUGGUGCUGUGCUCCGGGGCCGCUCUCGUGCUGGUAGGAGAGGACCAGGGCGGCCGAAGCCUCGAGCAGCCCGACCGCGGCGCGGCGCCGGAGGGGGCCCCCAACUCCACCGCCGGGGAAGGGGGCGAGCCGGCGGCGUGGACGUCGGUCCCCGCGUGGGACGGUGCCACCAGCCCCUCCGCCCUGCCGCCGCGGGCCGCGGGGAACAGGAGCCGUGAGUACCCCAAUGCCGCCGGCGCGCCCCGAGCGGCCGCUCCGGGCCCCCUCGGCUCGGGGGUGUUUGCACCACCGACACCUCCCGUCUCUUCCAGAAAGCGCCUCGGCCGUUCCCGUGCGGUACUGGUCCCCCGUCAUCUUUGUGGCCGUUGCUCUGCUCGUGCUGUUCCUGACCUACAAGAGGACCAAGGGGGAAGAAAGCGGCAACCAAGUGGCCUCGGCCAGUGACUCCUCAGAUUUGGAAGAAGCAGCCGACGUCCCCGUCCACGACACGGCCCCAAUCGUCCCUCCUGCCGCGGUGAGUCCGGCCGACGGGGGGGCCGCAGCCGAAAUCCUGCCGCCUCCUCUGCCCCUGUGCGGUGGGGACGCGCGUCGGGGCUGYGCCGCGUCUCCUAAACUGCUGCCGUCCGCUGCAGGAGGAGCRGAAGGGGCCGGAGAAACCCCCACCCCGGGAUCCGACCGAAACCGUCUUCUGCGAGCCGGACGCCCCCCCGCUGCAGCCGUCCCAGGUAUUUCGACCCUCCUCGGCCGCGUCAGCCCCACGGCGUGGUUUUGGGCAAAAYGCGGGACCAAAGGGCUGUGCCGGGGGUGUCUGCACGCAGCGGUGCCCUGCGGCAUCCCGCUCCCCGUCGCGGGGCAGGGCUGACCUUGCUCCCCUCGCACCCGAGCAGCCCGUUGCCCCCGCGGCCACCAGCAGCCCCCAGCCCUGACCGAMGGCUCCCAGCACGGCCGAAGCCCCCGGAGAAAGCGGCAGCUCUGAAACGCCCCGCGGGGCGACGGGCUGCGUGACGAGGAUGCUCCCGGCCCCGCAGCCUCCUCGGCCCUUUGCAACCCCUGGCAGGAUACGACCCAGCGCGUGACACGGCCCUGCACGACGUGACCGCACGUGGCACGGCCGUGCGCGUGCAUUUACUACCGUGCACGCAAGGACGGGGGCCUGGGGCGCGCGUGACGUGCGCCGUCAAGCCAAUAAAGCAGCGUUUCACCCCA